This 480-nucleotide long non-coding RNA is filed under the name Nicotiana benthamiana. Its description in RNAcentral is "long non-coding RNA (NBEN_LNC007595)". Lineage: Eukaryota; Viridiplantae; Streptophyta; Magnoliopsida; Solanales; Solanaceae. The record is from RNAcentral.
AGACUCCCUUUUCCUGACAGUUCCAUCAGUACCUGUAGACCUUUCCAGCUUAUUCAUGUAGAUACUUUGGGCCCUUAUCACACCCCUACCUCUUCUGGUUGUAAAUAUUUCCUUACUAUAGUUGAUGAUUUCUCUAGAGCAAACUGGACACAUUUACUGGGGGUCUAACAGUAAUGCUUUCAACCUUAUCAAGUCCUUUAUAUGUAUGGUCAAAACACAAUUUAAUGCCGCUGUACAAACUGUCAGAAGUGAUAAUGCUUUUGAAUUAGGGUGUAGUCUUGCUGGUGUUUCUCACCUGGAUACAUUUACUGGGGUCUAAAAGUAAUGCUUUCAGCCAUAUCAAGUCCUUUAUAUGUAUGGUCAAAACACAAUUUAAUGCCACUGUGCAAACUGUCAGAAGUGAUAAUGCUUUUGAAUUAGGGUCUAGUCUUGCUGGUGUUUCUUUCUUUAAUCAACAAGGCAUCAUUCAUCAAACUACUU